UUCAUUAGUGCCUAAGCUGAGUGUAUUGCUC
Molecule: non-coding RNA, 31 nt
Filed under: Homo sapiens (human)
Lineage: Eukaryota; Metazoa; Chordata; Mammalia; Primates; Hominidae
Source: RNAcentral